UGGGGAAUAUUGCACAAUGGGCGCAAGCCUGAUGCAGCCAUGCCGCGUGUGUGAAGAAGGCCUUCGGGUUGUAAAGCACUUUCAGCGGGGAGGAAGGCGAUAAGGUUAAUAACCUUGUCGAUUGACGUUACCCGCAGAAGAAGCACCGGCUAACUCCGUGCCAGCAGCCGCGGUAAUACGGAGGGUGCAAGCGUUAAUCGGAAUUACUGGGCGUAAAGCGCACGCAGGCGGUCUGUCAAGUCGGAUGUGAAAUCCCCGGGCUUAACCUGGGAACUGCAUUCGUAACUGGCAGGCUAGAGUCUUGUAGAGGGGGGUAGAAUUCCAGGUGUAGCGGUGAAAUGCGUAGAGAUCUGGAGGAAUACCGGUGGCGAAGGCGGCCCCCUGGACAAAGACUGACGCUCAGGUGCGAAAGCGUGGGGAGCAAACAGG
RNAcentral lists this ribosomal RNA (429 nucleotides) under Chloroflexota bacterium. RNAcentral's name for it is "Chloroflexi bacterium partial 16S ribosomal RNA". It matches the Rfam family "Bacterial small subunit ribosomal RNA", at positions 355 to 776 of the family's 1533-position model. The record is from RNAcentral. Lineage: Bacteria; Bacillati; Chloroflexota.